GCCGAAGCGCGUUCUGAUAUUGGGCGUAAGAGCUCGUAGGCGGUUUGUCGCGUCUGUCGUGAAAGUCCGGGGCUUAACCCCGGAUCUGCGGUGGGUACGGGCAGACUAGAGUGCAGUAGGGGAGACUGGAAUUCCUGGUGUAGCGGUGGAAUGCGCAGAUAUCAGGAGGAACACCGAUGGCGAAGGCAGGUCUCUGGGCUGUAACUGACGCUGAGGAGCGAAAGCAUGGGGAGCGAACAGGAUUAGAUACCCUGGUAGUCCAUGCCGUAAACGUUGGGCACUAGGUGUGGGGACCAUUCCACGGUUUCCGCGCCGCAGCUAACGCAUUAAGUGCCCCGCCUGGGGAGUACGGCCGCAAGGCUAAAACUCAAAGGAAUUGACGGGGGCCCGCACAAGCGGCGGAGCAUGCGGAUUAAUUCGAUGCAACGCGAAGAACCUUACCAAGGCUUGACAUGUUCUCGAUCGCCGUAGAGAUACGGUUUCCCCUUUGGGGCGGGUUCACAGGUGGUGCAUGGUUGUCGUCAGCUCGUGUCGUGAGAUGUUGGGUUAAGUCCCGCAACGAGCGCAACCCUCGUUCCAUGUUGCCAGCACGUCAUGGUGGGGACUCAUGGGAGACUGCCGGGGUCAACUCGGAGGAAGGUGAGGACGACGUCAAAUCAUCAUGCCCCUUAUGUCUUGGGCUUCACGCAUGCUACAAUGGCCGGUACAAUGGGUUGCGAUACUGUGAGGUGGAGCUAAUCCCAAAAAGCCGGUCUCAGUUCGGAUUGGGGUCUGCAACUCGACCCCAUGAAGUCGGAGUCGCUAGUAAUCGCAGAUCAGCAACGCUGCCGGUGAAUACGU
This 840-nucleotide ribosomal RNA is filed under the name Micrococcus luteus. Its description in RNAcentral is "bacterial SSU rRNA". It matches the Rfam family "Bacterial small subunit ribosomal RNA", at positions 532 to 1371 of the family's 1533-position model. Lineage: Bacteria; Bacillati; Actinomycetota; Actinomycetes; Micrococcales; Micrococcaceae. The record is from RNAcentral.